GAUAGGAGUGUCGUGACAUACAAAAGUUACAGUGCUUUCACUUCUGUUACUGGGAUUCGAUUCCUAGGGCGCUUUCCAUUUAAUGGCCUGACCGGUCAGACCCGAAUUGUUUUUCUCUGUAUCAAUGGAAAGAUCUGGUCUAUGUUUCUCAAAUAUCUAGCGAAAAUGGACCUCUUUCUAAUGUUAUCUAAAUUUUCCGGUCAGAUAGGUCCGAAGUCCAAAUGUUUUGU
This is a non-coding RNA of Paramuricea clavata, 230 nucleotides long. The record is from the annotation of a GenBank genome assembly. Lineage: Eukaryota; Metazoa; Cnidaria; Anthozoa; Malacalcyonacea; Plexauridae.